AUACUGGGGGAUAACAGCCAGAAAUGGCUGCUAAUACCGCAUAAGCGCACGGCGCCGCAUGGCGCAGUGUGAAAAACUCCGGUGGUAUAAGAUGGAUCCGCGCCUGAUUAGCUAGUUGGCGGGGCAGCGGCCCACCAAGGCGACGAUCAGUAGCCGGCCUGAGAGGGCGACCGGCCACAUUGGGACUGAGACACGGCCCAAACUCCUACGGGAGGCAGCAGUGGGGAAUAUUGCACAAUGGGGGGAACCCUGAUGCAGCGACGCCGCGUGAGUGAAGAAGUAUUUCGGUAUGUAAAGCUCUAUCAGCAGGGAAGAAAAUGACGGUACCUGACUAAGAAGCCCCGGCUAACUACGUGCCAGCAGCCGCGGUAAUACGUAGGGGGCAAGCGUUAUCCGGAUUUACUGGGUGUAAAGGGAGCGUAGACGGCAGCGCAAGUCUGGAGUGAAAUCCCAUGGCUUAACCAUGGAACUGCUUUGGAAACUGUGCAGCUGGAGUGCAGGAGAGGUAAGCGGAAUUCCUAGUGUAGCGGUGAAAUGCGUAGAUAUUAGGAGGAACACCAGUGGCGAAGGCGGCUUACUGGACGGUAACUGACGUUGAGGCUCGAAAGCGUGGGGAGCAAACAGGAUUAGAUACCCUGGUAGUCCACGCGGUAAACGAUGAAUGCUAGGUGU
RNAcentral lists this ribosomal RNA (672 nucleotides) under uncultured bacterium. RNAcentral's name for it is "bacterial SSU rRNA". It matches the Rfam family "Bacterial small subunit ribosomal RNA", at positions 133 to 823 of the family's 1533-position model. The record is from RNAcentral.